UCCCAUAUAGUGUAGAGGUUUAGCAUUCCGGAUUUUCAAAAAUAGCUACUUGGCCCUUUCCGGCGACUCGGGUUCGAACCCCGAUAUGGGAA
This is a non-coding RNA of Lasiosphaeris hirsuta, 92 nucleotides long. The record is from the annotation of a GenBank genome assembly. NCBI's taxonomy places the organism in Eukaryota, Fungi, Ascomycota, Sordariomycetes, Sordariales, Lasiosphaeriaceae.